AAGUGUGGAUAUGGUCUAGCCACCCAUACAGAUAUGCAGCAUUUUACGCAGGUUUAUUGUUUCCAUUUAAUGGCAGUAUGAAAUAGCCUAUCGAUUUAACUUGUCCUAUUUCAACUUUGGCCAAGAUUGGAUUUUUAAACGAGCUGGGUUGGGUGCCGCCUGGGAGCAGAGGAUCACAGGGACUGUGUGACUCGCAGGUCGGAGUGCGCAAAGCAACGCGACCCGUGAUUCAUCCGCAGUUUCCAGACGGUGCGCAGGUGGAGGCGAGGCGAAGAGGAGAGGAAGCAGCCGCUCAGGACGGACGGAUGAAACGAGCAGGGAUGUUCAAUACGCGCAAGAUUUAUUCCAUCUAAAGGAACACACUGUUUUUUUUUUUCCUCCACCGCUAUAGAUUUGGAACCACUGUAUUGCUUUGGCUCAGCUGUAACCCAUUUCUCCUCCAUGACAAAAGUUUGACUGUUAAAAAAUGAUGCUCUGCUCCGCUACUGUUUUUUCAUGCAUUGCUGUGGAUUCCGGCGUCAGCGCAAGUGGCCAGUCAUCACUUGAGAAACAGCUGCGAUUCUUUCGGUCUUAAUUUGCGGUGCCAAUUUCAGCAAACAGAGGGCUUUUUUUCUUGCUCAUCAUCGCUCGACCGGGAUUGCAUCCAUUUGAAUUAUUGUCGCACUCCGUUCCAUAAUGGACUUCCUCGGACUGUACUUCUUACAGCUGGCUCUUAUCGGAGUCCCACGUCUGGCGCUCUCUUCAGGCGGGAGGGACUGCCUGCGCGCUGGAGACACCUGCUCCACCGACGACACCUGCAGCCCGCGACUGCGCACCCUCCGGCAGUGUGUGGCGGGGGACGGCAGUGUGAAGCUGGGGCCCGGGGCGCGGAACCAAUGUGAGAACGCCAUGACGGCGCUGCUGUCCACUCCUUUGCACGGCUGCCAAUGUAAACGAGGCAUGAAGAAGGAGAAGAACUGCCUGAGUAUCUACUGGAGUCUGCAUCAGUCCGUGCUGCACGGACUCAGCCUGGUGGAUAACUACCCGUAUGAACCAGAGGAGAGGGGCUCCGACUAUGUCCGUCUGGCCUCCAUCGCUGCAGAGUCCGAAGUAACGACGGUGAACCGCUGCCUGGAUGCUGCCAAGGCGUGCAAUAUAGAUGAGACGUGUCAGAAGCUUCGUACGGAAUAUGUCUCAUCCUGCAUCCAGCCGUCAGCCCGCUCAGGGCCGUGUAACCGACCAAAGUGCAACAAGGCGCUGAGGAAGUUCUUUGACCGCGUUCCCCCUGACUACACCCACGAGCUGCUGUUCUGUCCCUGCACUGACACGGCCUGCGCAGAGCGCCGCAGGCAAACUAUCGUGCCGUCCUGCUCCUACGAAGACAAGGACAAGCCCAACUGCCUGGCCCAGCUGCGGAUCUGCAAAGCAGACUAUGUGUGCAGGUCUCGCUGGGCACAGUUCCAGUAUGAUUGCCAACCUUCCGAGCAGAGUGCUAGUGGCUGCAAGCAAGAGAACUACGGAGCAUGUCUACUCGCGUACACUGGCCUGAUAGGAAGCACAAUAACUCCCAACUACCUUGACAACUCCACAUCCAACGUGGGACCCUGGUGCUCGUGCGCAGCGAGCGGCAAUCACAGGGAACAAUGCACCGACUUCCUCACUUCCUUCAACGACAACGUCUGCCUGAGAAAUGCAAUCCUGGCCUUCGGGAACGGAUCGGAUGAGAAAACGGGCGCCAGCCAGCCCGGUAUGCCCAGUGUGGCGAUGGACAACCAGAGCCCACACUUGGCAACCACUGCCCCGGGCGUCUCCAUGGAAACAGAGCAGAACAUUCUAAGAGCACAGAUACCUACUCAGGCAAACGAGAACGACAGAUUGUGGGGCGACGAGGGAGACUCCGCUCUUCCCUCUCCGGGCCUGUCGGACCGCGGAGUCGAACCUCUCCGCCUGUCCCUGCUGCUGGGCCUCGGGUGGCUGCUCCUGCUGCUGCUCUCCGACCAAUAAGAGGCCUCGCUCACCUGGCCUCCACUGACAAAACUCCAGACCUGGGGGGAGGGGUUGGUGUGUGUGAGAGAGAAAGAAACAGCCAUUCUAUGUGUCAAAUGAUAGUGGGGAAAAGGGUCGACUGUCUCAAGAAUCACACUUUAUCUCUUUUUGUAAAUCAUGACUCAGAGCAGAUGUGGGGGGAACCAGGAAGUACACACCUCAUUUCUUGCUUCACGCCUGCCCAAAUAAACUCUUACACAACACACAUGCAGACUUUGCUCAUACGAAAAUAACGUCCAAGCUACAGAAGGGCCCGUGGGCUCAGGUGUACAGUGAAGAGACACUGAAGAUGCAGUGUGGGAAAAACUCUAAAAAAAAUAAAUAAAAAAUCUUUUGUCCCUGAACACUUCUUGAUGUUAAAGAAAAAAUAUUACAUGUUAAGACUUUUGUCUCAGAUAAACUGUGAUAAAGUGUUACACGAAAUUUAAGGUGGAUGUGUGUUUGUCCACAUGCAGCACUCUACUUCUUGUUCUUUAUUUUGAUCCCACAUUUUGUUAAUUUUGUUUAAUUAAGAUGUAAUUUUGUUACCGAGAAUGUUAGAUGGAAGUACAUUAUCGAGUCAAAUCGCAAUUAAAUUCUUUGACUGUUGUGUUUUAAGUUGCAGGAUAAACAGCUCAUUUCCAAAUAAAGAAUAUAUAUAGAAAAAAAAUGUAUUGAAAUUUAACAUUCAAAUAAGAUCUCCCAAAGUCUUUCAAAGUGUUUUAUUUUGUCAAACAAGGAACUAUAUUACUUAUUAGCUUUUAGCGUAUUGUAUAUUGUUUUAAUUUUAAAAGCUCUAAAAGCAUUUUGUAUGAGUAGAUGUCACUUUUCGAAAAUGGUGAUUACCUCGCUUUGAAAGGGGACUCCUCAUAUAUUCAUUCAUUUAGCUUUAAGUGUUAGGGCUUGACAAACAUUUGGGUUUGUUCCUCUUAAGGAACAUAAAAAACAUGGUUUUGGUGACGCCAAAAGAUGGAAACAAGUCUAUAUUUUUUAACUGUGUGUGGACUUUGCCGCAGAGAAAAUAGAUAUCUCCAAGUUUGUGACCAAUCGUGCUCUGCCGCUGCGCAAGGACUGGUGGGAAAACAGAUGGUGUGGGUUUUGAUGCAUAACCGGAUGCAUAUGUCUUUCGAGGGACUUGUGAGAUGAAGGUGGUUACCCGUGUUGGCCCGCUCCAGAAGAUUUACAAUAUGUACUGUGAAAGCGCAGCUUUGCUCUGUGAAGCAGACACGUCUAUGAAAAGUGUUGAGAUCGAGGUUGGUUAGCUGCAGAGGCUCCCAACGAGGAAUGUGUCAUCUUCAAUACUGCCAUUGAAAUCAAUUAUCUGAAGAAACGCCCAUUUGUUUCAUUGCAUUAUGAAAUUACACAACAUGUGCCGACUUCAACACCGAGACAGAAAACGUGUUGCUCUGAGCUACAAGCAGACCAGAUAAAAAUGACACAUUCUAGCUUAAGUUGGACCUAAAACUAAGCUCCUAAUAUUGUUAAUUCUUCCUCACUGAUGUCCGUGUUGUUUUGAAAUGAGAGCCCAAAUGGGUUUAACAGGGUUUUAAGGACCUAUCUUCUGGUACUGAGACAUGGAGAUAUUUUGGGUUUUAUUUGCCAAGGUUUUGUCAUUCUCUGAGAUUGCUGCUGCCAUCCAAAUACAAUAAACAUUUUUUUCUUUGGAAAGAC
Sander lucioperca (pikeperch) is the source of this 3675-nucleotide RNA transcript. It is a transcript of the gene named GDNF family receptor alpha 4a, with no coding region annotated. NCBI's taxonomy places the organism in Eukaryota, Metazoa, Chordata, Actinopteri, Perciformes, Percidae. The transcript has 9 exons. The record is from RefSeq and is a predicted model, not a curated record.